UGGGAAAAGGGCUGUCAGGGGAGCGAGGU
RNAcentral lists this non-coding RNA (29 nucleotides) under Homo sapiens (human). Lineage: Eukaryota; Metazoa; Chordata; Mammalia; Primates; Hominidae. The record is from RNAcentral.